This 69-nucleotide transfer RNA is filed under the name Monopenchelys acuta (redface moray). Its description in RNAcentral is "tRNA-His". It matches the Rfam family "tRNA". From Rfam's summary of the family: Transfer RNA (tRNA) molecules are approximately 80 nucleotides in length. Their secondary structure includes four short double-helical elements and three loops (D, anti-codon, and T loops). Further hydrogen bonds mediate the characteristic L-shaped molecular structure. tRNAs have two regions of fundamental functional importance: the anti-codon, which is responsible for specific mRNA codon recognition, and the 3' end, to which the tRNAs corresponding amino acid is attached (by aminoacyl-tRNA synthetases). tRNAs cope with the degeneracy of the genetic code in two manners: having more than one tRNA (with a specific anti-codon) for a particular amino acid; and 'wobble' base-pairing, i.e. permitting non-standard base-pairing at the 3rd anti-codon position. The record is from RNAcentral. Lineage: Eukaryota; Metazoa; Chordata; Actinopteri; Anguilliformes; Muraenidae.
GUUAAUGUAGUUUAAUUAAAACACUAGAUUGUGAUUCUAGUAAUAACAGUUAAACUCUGUUUGUUGACC